ACUCCUGCGGGAGGCAGCAGUGGGGAAUUUUGGACAAUGGGCGAAAGCCUGAUCCAGCAAUGCCGCGUGAGUGAAGAAGGCCUUCGGGUUGUAAAGCUCUUUUGUCAGGGAAGAAACGGUGAAAGCUAAUAUCUUUUGCUAAUGACGGUACCUGAAGAAUAAGCACUGGCUAACUACGUGCCAGCAGCCGCGGUAAUACGUAGGGUGCAAGCGUUAAUCGGAAUUACUGGGCGUAAAGCGUGCGCAGGCGGUUUUGUAAGUCUGAUGUGAAAUCCCCGGGCUCAACCUGGGAAUUGCAUUGGAGACUGCAAGGCUAGAAUCUGGCAGAGGGGGGUAGAAUUCCACGUGUAGCAGUGAAAUGCGUAGAUAUGUGGAGGAACACCGAUGGCGAAGGCAGCCCCCUGGGUCAAGAUUGACGCUCAUGCACGAAAGCGUGGGGAGCAAACAGGAUUAGAAACCCGGGUAGUCCCAUGAU
RNAcentral lists this ribosomal RNA (475 nucleotides) under uncultured organism. RNAcentral describes it as "partial 16S ribosomal RNA". It matches the Rfam family "Bacterial small subunit ribosomal RNA", at positions 335 to 801 of the family's 1533-position model. The record is from RNAcentral.